AUUGAACGCUGGCGGCAUGCUUUACACAUGCAAGUCGAACGGUAACAGGCCGCAAGGUUCUGACGAGUGGCGAACGGGUGCGUAAUGCAUCGGAACGUGCCCAGUCGUGGGGUAUAACUACUCGAAAGAGUAGCUAAUACCGCAUACGAUCUAUGGAUGAAAGCGGGGGACCGUAAGGCCUCGCGCGAUUUGAGCGGCCGAUGUCAGAUUAGGUAGUUGGUGGGGUAAAGGCUCACCAAGCCAACGAUCUGUAGCUGGUCUGAGAGGACGACCAGCCACACUGGGACUGAGACACGGCCCAGACUCCUACGGGAGGCAGCAGUGGGGAAUUUUGGACAAUGGGCGCAAGCCUGAUCCAGCAAUGCCGCGUGCAGGAAGAAGGCCUUCGGGUUGUAAAGUGCUUUUGUACGGAACGAAACGGCUCUGGUUAAUACCCGGGGGUAAUGACGGUACCGUAAGAAUAAGCACCGGCUAACUACGUG
RNAcentral lists this ribosomal RNA (482 nucleotides) under uncultured bacterium. RNAcentral's name for it is "partial 16S ribosomal RNA". It matches the Rfam family "Bacterial small subunit ribosomal RNA", at positions 30 to 507 of the family's 1533-position model. The record is from RNAcentral.